This 459-nucleotide ribosomal RNA is filed under the name uncultured bacterium. RNAcentral's name for it is "partial 16S ribosomal RNA". It matches the Rfam family "Bacterial small subunit ribosomal RNA", at positions 338 to 794 of the family's 1533-position model. The record is from RNAcentral.
CCUACGGGUGGCAGCAGUGAGGAAUAUUGGUCAAUGGACGAGAGUCUGAACCAGCCAAGUAGCGUGAAGGAUGACUGCCCUAUGGGUUGUAAACUUCUUUUAUAUGGGAAUAAAAUGUUCCACGUGUGGGAUUUUGUAUGUACCAUAUGAAUAAGGAUCGGCUAACUCCGUGCCAGCAGCCGCGGUAAUACGGAGGAUCCGAGCGUUAUCCGGUUUUAUUGGGUUUAAAGGGAGCGUAGGUGGAUUGUUAAGUCAGUUGUGAAAGUUUGCGGCUCAACCGUAAAAUUGCAGUUGAAACUGGCAGUCUUGAGUACAGUAGAGGUGGGCGGAAUUCGUGGUGUAGCGGUGAAAUGCUUAGAUAUCACGAAGAACUCCGAUUGCGAAGGCAGUUCACUGGACUGCAACUGACACUGAGGCUCGAAAGUGUGGGUAUCAAACAGGAUUAGAUACCCGAGUAGU